Long non-coding RNA from Cotesia glomerata, 282 nucleotides. RefSeq lists it as uncharacterized. NCBI's taxonomy places the organism in Eukaryota, Metazoa, Arthropoda, Insecta, Hymenoptera, Braconidae. The transcript has 2 exons. The record is from RefSeq and is a predicted model, not a curated record.
UUAAUUCUAAAUAAAAAUAAGAAUAGGUUAUAUAAUAACUUUUGUAAUUAAUAUUAUUUUUUCAAAUGUAAUUAAUACUGAUAAAAUUUGUAUCAGUUCCUUCACGACAGUUACAUAACCUUAAUUCGAACAAUGGGAUCUUUUUAGGGCGAAUUUUUAAUUCUGCUCAUUAAUAUGCAUCAAAUGAUUGUUAGAAAUCUGAUUUUCGAACAAUGUAUUUAUAGAGGAACCUAUAAUUAAAUAUGCAAAUAAUAGAUUAAUCAAAUUAAUAUAAAUAGCCGC